RNAcentral lists this transfer RNA (72 nucleotides) under Sphaerodactylus townsendi. RNAcentral's name for it is "tRNA-Ala". The record is from RNAcentral. Lineage: Eukaryota; Metazoa; Chordata; Lepidosauria; Squamata; Sphaerodactylidae.
GGGGGCAUGGCUCAGUGGAAGACCCUCUGUUUGGCAUGCAGAAGGUCCCUGGUUCAAUCGCCAGCAUCUCCG